CCUACGGGAGGCUGCAGUGGGGAAUAUUGGACAAUGGGCGCAAGCCUGAUCCAGCCACGCCGCGUGAGUGAUGAAGGCCUUCGGGUCGUAAAGCUCUGUGGGGAGGGACGAACCGCCACCGGUUAAUACCCGGUGGCAUGACGGUACCUCCUUAGCAAGCACCGGCUACCUUCGUGCCAGCAGCCGCGGUAAUACGAAGGGUGCCAACGUUGCUCUGAAUUAUUCGGAGUAGAGCGCGCGAGUGCGGCUUGAAAUCCCUCGGCUCAACCAAGGAAGUGCUUUCGAAACUGCGGAGCUUGAGUACUUAAGAGGAUCGCGGAAUUCCCGGUGUAGAGGUGAAAUUCGUAGAUAUCGGGAGGAACACCAGUGGCGAAGGCGGCGAUCUGGGAAGAUACUGACGCUGAGGUGCGAAAGCGUGGGGAGCAAACAGGAUUAGAUACCCCGGUAGUC
Molecule: ribosomal RNA, 450 nt
Filed under: uncultured bacterium
Lineage: Bacteria
Description: partial 16S ribosomal RNA
Rfam family: Bacterial small subunit ribosomal RNA
Source: RNAcentral